AAGUCGUAACAAGGUUUCCGUAGGUGAACCUGCGGAAGGAUCAUUGACACACAAUGUUCUCACACACACAACCUGAUUCGUUGGUUAUUGCGGGAAUGGUAAAACACUCCCGCAACAACAACAUUCUAACAAACCUUGUUCUUCGAGCGUCCCCCGCGCCUCAAAAACGCGAGCCCGCUUUCGGAGUAACAAAACUCACAACAACAACAAAAAAACCACAAUAUAACCUAAAAAUAUUCAACGAUGGAUAUCUUGGUUCCCAUACCGAUGAAGAACGCAGC
RNAcentral lists this unclassified non-coding RNA (281 nucleotides) under fungal sp. RNAcentral describes it as "partial internal transcribed spacer region". The stretch from base 1 to 46 matches the Rfam family "Eukaryotic small subunit ribosomal RNA", at positions 1786 to 1831 of the family's 1831-position model. The record is from RNAcentral. Lineage: Eukaryota; Fungi.